Molecule: long non-coding RNA, 355 nt
Organism: Labeo rohita (rohu)
Lineage: Eukaryota; Metazoa; Chordata; Actinopteri; Cypriniformes; Cyprinidae
Exons: 4
Source: RefSeq, a predicted model, not a curated record
GCUCUUCUAAAGAACUCAUUUACUUGUUUGACAACGUACCACACACAAAUUUUGGUCAGGUUUUUUUUUAUGUUCAUCUCUUAGGCGGCUAAUGAACUGGAAGUCUCACCGGUAGGCUUACUUCCACGUUGAAGAAACAGAACCUGUUGACAUGCAUUUUAUGAAUCAUAAUAAUGUUUUACUGAAGAAGGCAAGACAUCUACACCCCGAUGACUGAAGGACUGCAUUAGACAAGACACAUGUUGUUUGGAAGAGCAGCUGAAAUCUGAAGCCAGAAUGCUGUCUUGUGGUCUUGCUGACUGAACACAUGAUGAGAGGAAAUGUCUGCAGAUACAGGUACUGUCUGGAACAGUUC